This 497-nucleotide ribosomal RNA is filed under the name uncultured bacterium. RNAcentral describes it as "partial 16S ribosomal RNA". It matches the Rfam family "Bacterial small subunit ribosomal RNA", at positions 28 to 507 of the family's 1533-position model. The record is from RNAcentral.
GAUGAACGCUGGCGGCGUGCCUAAUACAUGCAAGUCGAGCGAACGGACGAGAAGCUUGCUUCUCUGAUGUUAGCGGCGGACGGGUGAGUAACACGUGGAUAACCUACCUAUAAGACUGGGAUAACUUCGGGAAACCGGAGCUAAUACCGGAUGAUAUUUUGAACCGCAUGGUUCAAAAGUGAAAGACGGUCUUGCUGUCACUUAUAGAUGGAUCCGCGCUGCAUUAGCUAGUUGGUAAGGUAACGGCUCACCAAGGCAACGAUGCAUAGCCGACCUGAGAGGGUGAUCGGCCACACUGGAACUGAGACACGGUCCAGACUCCUACGGGAGGCAGCAGUAGGGAAUCUUCCGCAAUGGGCGAAAGCCUGACGGAGCAACGCCGCGUGAGUGAUGAAGGUCUUCGGAUCGUAAAACUCUGUUAUUAGGGAAGAACGUAUGUGUAAGUAACUGUGCACAUCUUGACGGUACCUAAUCAGAAAGCCACGGCUAACUACGUG